This 735-nucleotide ribosomal RNA is filed under the name Escherichia coli. Its description in RNAcentral is "partial 23S ribosomal RNA". It matches the Rfam family "Bacterial large subunit ribosomal RNA", at positions 2067 to 2801 of the family's 2925-position model. The record is from RNAcentral. Lineage: Bacteria; Pseudomonadati; Pseudomonadota; Gammaproteobacteria; Enterobacterales; Enterobacteriaceae.
UACCCGCGGCAAGACGGAAAGACCCCGUGAACCUUUACUAUAGCUUGACACUGAACAUUGAGCCUUGAUGUGUAGGAUAGGUGGGAGGCUUUGAAGUGUGGACGCCAGUCUGCAUGGAGCCGACCUUGAAAUACCACCCUUUAAUGUUUGAUGUUCUAACGUUGGCCCCUAAUCGGGGUUGCGGACAGUGUCUGGUGGGUAGUUUGACUGGGGCGGUCUCCUCCUAAAGAGUAACGGAGGAGCACGAAGGUUGGCUAAUCCUGGUCGGACAUCAGGAGGUUAGUGCAAUGGCAUAAGCCAGCUUGACUGCGAGCGUGACGGCGCGAGCAGGUGCGAAAGCAGGUCAUAGUGAUCCGGUGGUUCUGAAUGGAAGGGCCAUCGCUCAACGGAUAAAAGGUACUCCGGGGAUAACAGGCUGAUACCGCCCAAGAGUUCAUAUCGACGGCGGUGUUUGGCACCUCGAUGUCGGCUCAUCACAUCCUGGGGCUGAAGUAGGUCCCAAGGGUAUGGCUGUUCGCCAUUUAAAGUGGUACGCGAGCUGGGUUUAGAACGUCGUGAGACAGUUCGGUCCCUAUCUGCCGUGGGCGCUGGAGAACUGAGGGGGGCUGCUCCUAGUACGAGAGGACCGGAGUGGACGCAUCACUGGUGUUCGGGUUGUCAUGCCAAUGGCACUGCCCGGUAGCUAAAUGCGGAAGAGAUAAGUGCUGAAAGCAUCUAAGCACGAAACUUGCCCCG